This 332-nucleotide long non-coding RNA is filed under the name Gossypium barbadense (sea-island cotton). Its description in RNAcentral is "long non-coding RNA (GBAR_LNC022835)". Lineage: Eukaryota; Viridiplantae; Streptophyta; Magnoliopsida; Malvales; Malvaceae. The record is from RNAcentral.
CCCCUUGCAUGCUUUCAUUAAUGCCGUCCAUGCAUGGUGAAUAUCUCAUUUAAUUCAUGUUUUGCUUCCCUUUAAAUGCCGUUCCAUACAUGGGAACAUUUCAUUUAAUUCAUGUCUUUGCUGCACAUUAAAUCAGCAAGCAGCUUCUUUAAUUUCGUCCAUUAAAUGGCCACAUGAAAAAGCACAAACAACUCCUUUAAUGCCAUUCCUUGCAUGUAGAACAGCAUCUUUAAUGCAUGUCUUGCUGUACAUUAAAUUCGGCCAACAUCCACUUCCUUAAAUUGCCGUCCAAGCCAUUAAACCUGCAGCCAAAUAAUUAAAUUCAGUCAUUA